UACGUAGGGUGCGAGCGUUGUCCGGAAUUAUUGGGCGUAAAGAGCUCGUAGGCGGUUUGUCGCGUCGGCCGUGAAAACUCGGGGCUUAACUCCGGGCCUGCAGUGGGUACGGGCAGACUAGAGUGCGGUAGGGGAGACUGGAAUUCCUGGUGUAGCGGUGAAAUGCGCAGAUAUCAGGAGGAACACCGGUGGCGAAGGCGGGUCUCUGGGCCGUAACUGACGCUGAGGAGCGAAAGCGUGGGGAGCGAACAGG
This 253-nucleotide ribosomal RNA is filed under the name uncultured bacterium. Its description in RNAcentral is "partial 16S ribosomal RNA". It matches the Rfam family "Bacterial small subunit ribosomal RNA", at positions 524 to 776 of the family's 1533-position model. The record is from RNAcentral.